RNAcentral lists this non-coding RNA (696 nucleotides) under Pan troglodytes (chimpanzee). Lineage: Eukaryota; Metazoa; Chordata; Mammalia; Primates; Hominidae. The record is from RNAcentral.
AUUUUAUUUCACCCUAAUGGCAAAAUGGUCAAUAAAAGCUUCCGAGUCUCUUGCUCUUGCUCUCCCUGCUCCUCUCUCACCGGGCAGAGAAGUUUAUUACCUUAAGGUUGUUCCUGAACAAAAGAGGCUGCACAUAUUGGAUGGCUAAGACAGAAAGAUCUCACCAGUCUGGCCUUCUGAAGCUGAAACAGGCUCACACAGUUGGGAAGAAGAAGAACCAAGAUAUAAACUCAGAUUUUUUUCUUUUUUUUUUUUUUUUGAGACAGUUUCACUCUUGUUACCCAGGCUGGAGUGCAAUGGCGUGAUCUCGGCUGGAGUGCAAUGGCGUGAUCUGAGCAUCUCCCGGGCUCAAACGAUUCUCCUGCCUCAGCCUCCUGAGUAGCUGCGUUAUAGGCAUGUGCCACCACACCUGGCUAAUUUUUUUUUUUUUUUUUUUUUUGUAUUUUUAGUAGAGACGGGGGUUUCACCAUGCUGGCCAGGCUGGUCUCGAACUCCCGACCUUAGGUGAUUCCCCCGCCUCUGCCUCUCAAAGUGCUGGGAUUACAGGCGUGAGCCACCGUGCCCAGCCAAAACUCAGGUAUUUUUAAGCUCCAAAUCCAGUUUUUUUUUCCUUUUGUUUUGGCUACACCAUGCUACACAUUUUAUCUAAUGUAUGUUAUGGUCCUAACUAUAAAGUCAAGAUGAAUAAUGCUUUAA